CUGCCUUGCACAUGCUAUCACAGCAAGAAGGAGAAAGGAGGAUCCAGGGCCAGUCAUCUACUGGAAAGAAGAUAAGAAUAUGAUAAAAAGUACUGUCAGAAAUUAAAAGAAGAUUGGACAUGUACUCUUUCAAGUCAGUAGUUGCAGGCUGAGCAGAGGAGAGUCGCCAACUAUGGGAACUCUGAGAAAAGGAUUGAUUUUUGACUGAUAUAAAGAUGCCCUCAAUUCAUCUAUGUAUAUCUACUAUGCUAGCCCUUGCAGCCAGUGUUAAAAGAUUCUUACAGGAAAAUCAUAGAAGCUCUCUCAGCCUUUGAUUGUGCCUUGUACUGAG
Microcebus murinus (gray mouse lemur) is the source of this 331-nucleotide non-coding RNA. NCBI's taxonomy places the organism in Eukaryota, Metazoa, Chordata, Mammalia, Primates, Cheirogaleidae. The record is from RefSeq and is a predicted model, not a curated record.